Molecule: long non-coding RNA, 488 nt
Organism: Bos indicus x Bos taurus (hybrid cattle)
Lineage: Eukaryota; Metazoa; Chordata; Mammalia; Artiodactyla; Bovidae
Source: Ensembl
UAGAAAUGUUCUUUUAAUAAAUGUACUAAAUAAGAUGCAUAAUUUAGCUCCUUCUCUGUAGCCUGCCGGCCAGCUGCCAGCUCUGAACUCCUUCUCGGCCUCUCUCUUUUCCUCCUCCCUUGAUCUCUCACCAUCCCUCCCUUGGGUUUGACUCAGCACGGAAAUUACCUGCUGGCCUGGUAAAAACAAUCUCAUUAAAAAGCCAUCACAGUUGUGCCUGAUGGCUUCAUUUGUCCCCCAGUGGCUCAAUUUAUACCUUCCUUUGGAACAAGCAGAGAGUGAGUACUCUCCAGGAUGGCUUUUUCCAGCUGUACUAUAUGCAUCCCAACAGACCACAGGCCUCAAGUAAAAGUCAACAAGCUGAGAAUCCGAAGACCUUGUUUUAAGAUAGACCGUUGGAAAACUGUUUGCUAUCUGGUUUCACCCCUACUCAAAAGGGAAGAGGUUAUACAGAUGGAAGAGCACUGGGGGUCAUUCUUAGAACCAGG